Molecule: ribosomal RNA, 76 nt
Filed under: Clostridium botulinum
Lineage: Bacteria; Bacillati; Bacillota; Clostridia; Eubacteriales; Clostridiaceae
Description: partial 23S ribosomal RNA
Rfam family: Bacterial large subunit ribosomal RNA
Source: RNAcentral
GUUGAUAGGUCAGAGGUGUAAGUGUGGCAACAUAUUUAGCUGACUGAUACUAAUAGGUCGAGGGCUUGACCAAUAA